GCAGCCGUGUUAGUCUGUAUUCGCAAAAAGAAAAGGAGUACUAGUGGCAUCUUAGAGGCUAACAAAUUUAUUUGAGCAUAAGCUUUCAUGAGCUACAGCUCACUUCAUCGAAUGCAUGCACAAGUUUAUUCUUUGGGAUGGUGUGACGUUAAGGCUGACUGAUAUCCUGGGUUGGUCUCAAAACUUUUUUUUUUUUUUGAUUCACCAGUGGAUUUUGUUUUUAUCAACUGUUAUCUUGCCUCUGUCUAGCACCUUAGUGGUUUUUUUUCAUAUGUUGCAAUUUGUGUGUAGAAAAAUAUUUGCUAAUGACCAGAUUUUUAAAGGUUAAAAGCAUCUAGAUGCUUUUGAAAAUCCCUCUAGUUGCCUAAAUACCCUUAAAGAUUUGGCUCUGCCUUGUAUAAAAUCCUUCUCAAAGGCUAUUUUAUACUGUAUUUUUUAUUAAAUACAGAUCUAAAACCUCAAGAUAAAUUGGCAACCAUAAGAAUGAAAAAAUUACGAGUUAUACACAUUAAAGUCAUGAAAUUAAAAAAAUAAAUACAUUUUUGGUUUCUUUUAAUUUGCCUUUUUGUUUCGGAGUCUUUAGGGUACAUCAACUUCAUACUUCUGUUACCUCUCCCAAAGAAUUUGUAUACUUAGAACAGUUGUACUUUAGUUAAUAUCAUUUUGGGUAUCCAGUAACGUGAUUUCCACCCCCCCUGCCCCCCAGUCAGUUGAGCAGGGGAACUAGUUUUAAGUGCAAUUUACUACCCCUGAUCCACAUGAUAGAAUAAUGAUUGUAAAAGUAUUCUUUUGUCUGGUGUUCUUCAGUGAAAGGGGAAACUCCAUCUUUCCCCAUCCACCAGCUCAAACCCGGAUGACUUUCUGAAAGCAUAAAACAAGAUGUUUGGUCAUCUUUAGUUUGGCCACCAAAUCCUCUUUUCCCUUGCUAAAAAUACAAAUAUGACCACAAAUGAGGGACUAAAAAGAAAACUGUCUAAAAUACUGUAGUGGAGAAAUACUAAUUAUACUGAAUCACUGCUUUAUAAACCCCACAGCUCCUAGCUUUGAUGCUGAAUCAGCUGGUCCAUUUCUUCUUCUUUCUGGUGCAUUUUACAUUUAGAUAGAACUCUUCAUUCUAGAAUGCUCUGCUCAUUUAAACUAUACACUGCUCAUUUCAUCUGCUGUUGAAGUGCAGGCAGUUUUGGAACCAGACAUGCCAGCUGUUUAACAGUGCACAAUUGAAAACACAGGAAGUAUUUGGUUAGGCAGAAUGUCAUUAGAGUUUAUUCAUAACAGCCAGGUGAACAUCUGUGCUUUUGUGAAACAUGCACUAGGAUAAUUAAUGACUGCAGUGGUCAUUCUCUGGUUUUAAUAUUUUAGCCAAAACAGAAAAAAAAUCCAACAAGUAUGGGGGCAUAGUUUCCAUGCUUACACAUGGGCAAAAGUGGCAUCUAAUGAAUUACAAAUAUCACUUUCUGUUGUACUCUACUUGUUACUUAGAAAUCUCUUAACUAUUUAGCCCAACUCAACUUGGCAAGAUCCUGCCAGCAUUUACACACAAGUAACUUUAUGCACAUGAGUAGCUCCAGAACUCGUUGGCACUAGUUUUGUGUAUACAGCUACUCACAUGCAUAAAUGUUUGCAGGUCUGAGGCCUUUGAUCAUGCGAUCUGUAGGAUCACAGCCAGAGCAGUAUGAGCAUAAACAUUAAGAAUUAAUCAUUAACACUGAAGUGACUAUGAAGUAAAUUACAUAGUAUGUAUUUUGGUUUGCAGUUAAUAAAAGCUUUGUGUCUUUAACGAUUUUUUACAGUUUUUUUUAAAUGUCUUUAUUUCUACAAAAAAUAGUGCUAUAAAAACCAUGCUAAAAGUAUAUACAAACUCGAGUUGCACCAAAAUGCACAUAUUCUGUUAAUAUUAUUGUUUGUUAUUUUAUUAUAGUUUGUUUGAGGUACUGCUCAGAUACGUUAAGCACUUUCUAAGCAUUCAACAAGGGAUAUUCACUGCCCAAAAGAGCUCUCAUGUAUGCAUGCUAGGUAAAGCAAAACAAAUUUUCCCCAGUAGACAUUGGUGUACAGUUAUGUCUUUCUGAAUAGCGCAUACGUUUUUCUACCUAAAUACAGUUAAUAUAUCUUGAACUAUCUCUUGCAAUAAAUGAUCUCUAUCACCAAAUUUCUACUGUUACUAUGUAAUCUGCUCAGGACUAAUCCAAUGUAAUGGACAGUAAUCAAGGAAUAAAACCAUUCAGCUGACAAGUCUAUCAACAGCCUAACCCUGAGAGUUAGGCAAAAAAGCACCAUCACAACUGGACUUGGCAUUGCUCUUGAAUAAAAAGGGCGUAAACUCAGCCUAGUCAAGUCAAUCAUCAAAGCUAAGUGCUAUGGAUGCUACAUACCAAGCCUGGGAAGUGAAAGACUAAAGAUUUUGCAAUUGGAAUCUGUUGAUGUGGAAGCCAGGCCAGAAGUCACCUCACUAACCAACAGAAGUAUUUGGCUCUACGAUGUGUGUGCAGCUGCAUCCACUCAUCUACAAGCAAAGCAAAACAGAGCAGACGCAUAGCAUGCAGGCUGCUAUGAGCUGGCAGUGGUCACUUUUGAAAGGUUUGCAGAAGAGUUGUGUUUGAAGGAGGAGAAAGCUGGCUUGGUAUUCAAGAGAGUGGACGAUAUUUCAACACGUGAAUGUAGUAGAAGGAAACAUAAGGGAAGAUAGGAAGGAAAGACAUGGAUACCAUUUUAUGACUAUUUGUGUGGUUCGAACUUGUAGUGCUUUACAUGCAGAAAAUACAACAGAAAAUUGCCUUUUGUGCCACAGCUCAAAAGAGCUUAAUUAAACUGUGUACUGCAAUUACUGAAUGGUGACUACCUAAUCCAGGCCUAUUCCGUAUUUUUCUGAAUAUUUGAUGUUCUUCGUUUAUCAGUUCUGAGCUCGUCAAUUCUGGUGCAUAAAUACUAUGAACUCUCUUCUCUCUCAUGUAUUCCAUUUUUAACCUCUAGUGUCAUGGAUGCAAUGGUGAAAUAAAUUAUACUGAGUAAAUAAAGUCAAAUUGCAAGAAAUUAACACCAAGGAUAGGCUCACUGAAUGUAAGAAUGCAAUGGGACAUUAUUAUAAUUCUCUAAGAAGAUACAAUUCCUUUCUGCCUCUUUAAUGCAUUCUGACAUUUACUACAGCACAAUGUCAUCCGGUUAUUUUAAAAGUAAAAUGUUAAAUUUUCUGCCAGAUGGCUUAGUGAAUACAUCAGUGUCAUAGAUUACAUUUACCAUUCAUCCACUUUUUUGUGUCUCUUGCUUUGGACAUGUAUUUCAUUAAUGCUUUACCCUCCCAUUUGUAUUGUUUCACAUGUCUUCAUUAUGCUUCAGUUAAGAAGCUAUGAAAUAUGAGUGUCAUUAAUAAAUGGCUAUAUAGAAAUUUGCUAUGACGUUGACAUAGGUCUUUGCAAAAGGUUUUUUUGUUUGUUUUUUUAAACAAGUAACCCAAAAUGAAAUGCCAAGACAUUUAAUUUGUACUGUUUGUGUUUCAGAAUAAAUGGGAGCAAAGAAAUGUGGUGUUUGUGUAGUGCCAACCAUGGGGUCUGGGUCAGGGAUCUUUGUGUUCAUAUCUGUCAUAAAGAGGGUAAAUUCUAACUGGACAACAAAGAAGUGAAGACAAUAAAGAGAAACAAUAAAAGCAAUGUGGCUAAAGGUUUGUGGGGGGAGCACAUCCUGCUCUUUUUGGCUUCAUAAGCUUUGCUGAAGUGUGUUUAUAGGAAAUACUGGAAGAAGAAGGUAGAUAUUUUUUGUUGGACCAGGUCAGGGAGUGAAUUCCAGGGUUCUGCACGAAUAUAAACAUGGGAGAAAGUCACAAAGGGAAAUGUUAGUCCUGCAGCUUCAGCAAGCAAGUGAGAGGCACGUAAGAGUCUGGCUGUAGAGAGUGCUGAAGCCAAGGUCAAGGAGCUUAAAUUUGAAGGACAAAACAUGGAGAAGCCAGUUAAGGGAUUUGAAGAGGGUCCCAACAGCCUGAACAGACUGGAGGGGGACAACCCAGAAUAAAAUGCAAAAACUUGGGUCUGAUGAUCAGUAUACAUCAUUAACAGGCAAAGCAGGGAACCAAUGUGAUUGGCAAACUUGCUUGGAAUCAGAACAAGCAAGCCUCUUUGAGCAUAUCAGUCAAGAGAAUUUCAGAUUUAAAAUUGGCAAUUUUAAAUAUAUUGUUGUUUGCCAUGCAAGUUAUUAAUAGUCAUCGUUGCAUUUUUAUUUUAAAAAAGUUAUUGGGCCAGAUUUUCAACUGGGAAGAUCAUGUAUUGAUUAGAGUUUCAUUCUUAGAAUGAUCAUUGAAAAGUGACAAACACUGAUUUUAUGAAAGCAUGUCAUGAUUCAUUUUGGAACAUCUUUAGUGUUAUGGUAUGCCAACAAAAAAUAUUUGACAUAAUCAAGUAUUUAUAUCAAAGUGCUGUUUGCCUAGAUAAAGUCAACACAGAUUUGAGUGGAUGGUUUAAUGUAGGCACUGGUGUCAAAUAAAGAUGUAGUCUCUCUCCUCUCCUUUGGCAUGGCCUCUGAUUUUAUGAUGAGAAAAAAGUGUAAAUGGAUAUAAUGCAGGCAUCACAUGGUUUAUCAACUGUGAACUAGAAGAUUUAGAUUUUGCUGACAACAUAGCUCUUCUAAAGUGACAGCUCACCCAACAUGCAAGCAACGACUGAAAGACUGUUCACCACAGCAAAAAAAGACUGAGUUAAUAAUCAAUUAUUAAAUAUAUAUAUUAUGAGAACCCCAGCAAAU
This is a long non-coding RNA of Dermochelys coriacea (leatherback sea turtle), 4728 nucleotides long. RefSeq lists it as uncharacterized. NCBI's taxonomy places the organism in Eukaryota, Metazoa, Chordata, Testudines, Dermochelyidae. The transcript has 4 exons. The record is from RefSeq and is a predicted model, not a curated record.